UAGAUGGGAUGCUCGCUGGGUUUGGGGCGGCUUAGCUGUUACUAAAGAGUUUGUAGGAUCGAGGGCCUUUCCCAUCUAG
Molecule: transfer RNA, 79 nt
Filed under: Lobianchia gemellarii
Lineage: Eukaryota; Metazoa; Chordata; Actinopteri; Myctophiformes; Myctophidae
Description: tRNA-Asn
Source: RNAcentral